Molecule: ribosomal RNA, 496 nt
Filed under: uncultured bacterium
Lineage: Bacteria
Description: bacterial SSU rRNA
Rfam family: Bacterial small subunit ribosomal RNA
Source: RNAcentral
AUGAACGCUGGCGGCGUGCCUAAUACAUGCAAGUCGAACGCACAGCGAAAGGUGCUUGCACCUUUCAAGUGAGUGGCGAACGGGUGAGUAACACGUGGAUAACCUACCUCAAGGUUGGGGAUAACAUUUGGAAACAGAUGCUAAUACCGAAUAAAACUUAGUAUCGCAUGAUACCAGGUUAAAAGGCGCUACGGCGUCACCUAGAGAUGGAUCCGCGGUGCAUUAGUUAGUUGGUGGGGUAAAGGCUUACCAAGACAAUGAUGCAUAGCCGAGUUGAGAGACUGAUCGGCCACAUUGGGACUGAGACACGGCCCAAACUCCUACGGGAGGCUGCAGUAGGGAAUCUUCCACAAUGGGCGAAAGCCUGAUGGAGCAACGCCGCGUGUGUGAUGAAGGCUUUCGGGUCGUAAAGCACUGUUGUAUGGGAAGAACAGCUAGAGUAGGGAAUGACUUUAGUUUGACGGUACCAUACCAGAAAGGGACGGCUAAAUACGUG